AGCCCAAACCAAUAAAGUUUUCUUUAUUGGGGUUGCGGACAUAUCAUAACGAAGAGGUAUCGUAAUUGAAGAGGUUUGGAAAGACCCACCACAGAAGGUAAUAGUCCUGUAUGUUAAACGAGAAGACUUUAGAUAUGAUCCAGAGUACCACGGGACACGUGAAACCCUGUGGGAAGCAGGAGGGACCACCCUCCAAGGCUAAAUACUACCUAGUGACCGAUAGCGUAUAGUACCGUGAGGGAAAGGUGAAAAGAACCCCGGGAGGGGAGUGAAAUAGAACCUGAAACCCUGCACUUACAAGCUGUGGAAGCACAUUUCUUGUGUGACCGCGUACUUUUUGUAGAACGGGCCAACGAGUUACGUUAAGUAGCAAGGUUAAGCACUUAAGGUGCGGAGCCGUAGCGAAAGCGAGUUUUAACUGAGCGUUCAGUUACUUGACGUAGACCCGAAACCGGGCGACCUACCCAUGAGCAGGAUGAAGCGAAAGUAAAAUUUCGUGGAGGUCCGAACCCACGAGCGUUGAAAAGCUCGGGGAUGACUUGUGGGUAGCGGUGAAAUUCCAAUCGAGCCCGGAGAUAGCUGGUUCUCCCCGAAAUAGCUUUAGGGCUAGCCUCAAGGUGAGAGAUACGGAGGUAGAGCACUGAAUGUCCUAGGGGGUAUUGCACCUACCGAAGACUAUCAAACUCCGAAUGCCGUCAUCUUAUACUUGGGAGUCAGACUGUGGGUGAUAAGAUUCAUAGUCGAAAGGGCAACAGCCCAGAUCGUCAGCUAAGGUCCCUAAAUGUAAGUUAAGUGGUAAAGGAUGUGGGAUUGCACAGACAACCAGGAUGUUGGCUUAGAAGCAGCCACUCAUUCAAAGAGUGCGUAAUAGCUCACUGGUCGAGUGAUCCUGCGCCGAAGAUUUCCGGGGCUAAAACUUACUACCGAAGCUACGGCAUCAGUAAUGAUGGGUAGGGGAGCUUCCCAUACGGGUUGAAGCAUGACCGUAAGGACAUGUGGACAGUAUGGGAGUGAGAAUGUUGGCAUGAGUAGCGAGAUGUGGGUGAGAAUCCCACAGGCCGUAAACCCAAGGUUUCCAGGGGAAGGUUCGUCCGCCCUGGGUUAGUCGGGACCUAAGCUGAGGCCGAAAGGCGUAGGUGAUGGACAACAGGUUGAUAUUCCUGUACUACCGAUAACCGUUUGAGAGAAGGGAUGACACAGUAGGAUAAGCUAAGCACACUGUUGGUUAUGUGUGCCCAAGCAUUGAGGCAGUCAAAGUAGGCAAAUCCGCUUUGAUAAUGCUGGGAUGUGAUGGGGAGCGAAAUUUAGUAGCGAAGUAGCUGAUUUCACACUGUCAAGAAAAGUCUCUAUCGAGGUUAAAGGUACCCGUACCGCAAACCGACACAGGUGGGUGAGGAGAGUAUCCUAAGGCCAGCGAGAGAACUGUUGUUAAGGAACUCGGCAAAAUGACCCCGUAACUUAGGGAUAAGGGGUGCCACCAUCAGGUGGCCGCAGAGAAUAGGCCCAAGCGACUGUUUACCAAAAACAUAGGUUUCUGCUAAGUCGCAAGACGAUGUAUAGGAGCUGACGCCUGCCCGGUGCUGGAAGGUUAAGGGGAUCUGUUAGAGCAAUCGAAGCAGUGAACUUAAGCCCCAGUAAACGGCGGCCGUAACUAUAACGGUCCUAAGGUAGCGAAAUUCCUUGUCGGGUAAGUUCCGACCCGCACGAAAGGCGUAACGAUUUGGGCACUGUCUCAACAACAGACUCGGUGAAAUUGUAAUUCCGGUGAAGAUGCCGGAUACCUGCGACAGGACGGAAAGACCCCAUGGAGCUUUACUGUAGCUUGACAUUGGGUCUUGGUACUACAUGUACAGGAUAGGUGGGAGGCUUUGAAACCAGGACGCCAGUUUUGGCGGAGCCAUCCUUGGGAUACCACCCUUGUAGUACUGGGACUCUAACCAUAGGCCAUGAAUCUGGUCUUGGGACACUGUCAGGUGGGCAGUUUGACUGGGGCGGUCGCCUCCCAAAAGGUAACGGAGGCGCUCAAAGGUUCUCUCAGUACGGUCGGAAAUCGUACGUAGAGUGUAAAGGCAAAAGAGAGCUUGAUUGCAAGACAUACAGGUCGAGCAAGGAUGAAAAUCGGACUUAGUGAUCCGGUGGUUCUGCGUGGAAGGGCCAUCGCUCAACGGAUAAAAGCUACCCUGGGGAUAACAGGCUUAUCUCCCCCAAGAGUCCACAUCGACGGGGAGGUUUGGCACCUCGAUGUCGGCUCAUCACAUCCUGGGGCUGUAGUAGGUCCCAAGGGUUGGGCUGUUCGCCCAUUAAAGUGGUACGCGAGCUGGGUUCAGAACGUCGUGAGACAGUUCGGUCCCUAUCCGUCGCAGGCGUAGGAAAUUUGAGAAGACCUGUCCUUAGUACGAGAGGACCGGGAUGGACGUACCUCUGGUGUACCAGUUGUCCUGCCAAGGGCAUGGCUGGGUAGCUAUGUACGGAAUGGAUAAGCGCUGAAAGCAUCUAAGCGCGAAGCCAACUUCAAGAUAAGAUUUCCCACCGCAAGGGUAAGACCCCAGAAAGACUAUCUGGUUGAUAGGUCGAAGGUGUAAGUGCAGCAAUGUAUUUAGCUUAUCGAUACUAAUAGGUCGAGGACUUGACC
This 2632-nucleotide ribosomal RNA is filed under the name Clostridioides difficile. RNAcentral's name for it is "bacterial LSU rRNA". It matches the Rfam family "Bacterial large subunit ribosomal RNA". Lineage: Bacteria; Bacillati; Bacillota; Clostridia; Peptostreptococcales; Peptostreptococcaceae. The record is from RNAcentral.